AGGGUUCCUCUGCAGUAGCAAGUUAUGAAUGGACGAUACCGGGACCUUGGAAGUUUAUGUCCUCAUCUCACAUUUACUUGAACAUGAGUAGUGCGAAAUUUCCCAAUAUAAGUUGCAUUAAAGCAGAAACAACCAAGAAAAAUGUUACCAGGCGGACCUUGUCACAUCAUGUGUUGGUGCAUAUGCAGCUUGGUGCUAAAUGGAUCUGGUAUAGCAUGAAUGCUACUUACUAUCCAACUGUUAUGAUCGGGGAACGUGUCAAAACAUUCAGGUCUGUUGACGAGGUAUCAGGCGAUAUCACUAACUACACGUUUAUUCAUACAACCCUAGAAUGCGCUAUUGUCCAAAAAAAUAAAAGAAAGCGACAGGAGGGCAUGGAAACAAGCCUCGAACUGUGGGUGAACGACAAGUUCAGAACCAACACAACAUUCUGUGCAAAGCAAUUCAAGAAAAUAUGCAACAACGCAACAACAUUCGAUAUGAAUGAUUGUAUUGGACCUAAAUAAUGCUCGUCAUACUAUCAAUUUAAGGCCACGCCUAAAUUUGUGUUAUUGUAUGCUUAAAUUUUCUGUUUUCGCGUACACUGUGACGAAAGGCACCCUAAAAAUAAAAUUUAUUGUUGCCCAUACAUACAGUUGAAAGCAUAAGCCAUAAGGAGACAUGAAACGACGAUAUGAAUUUCUAGGUCAAACCAGUAUUUCACGCAUAAACUUUUUGAAUGAGUCAAUGUACAAUAAAUCAUUUCCAGCAGACAUAAA
Molecule: long non-coding RNA, 758 nt
Organism: Dermacentor silvarum
Lineage: Eukaryota; Metazoa; Arthropoda; Arachnida; Ixodida; Ixodidae
Exons: 5
Source: RefSeq, a predicted model, not a curated record